AGUACUUACCUAAUGAACAGCACAGAAAUCACGCUGCAUACGCAAUCACCUAACCGCCAGUCACUAUAUUUCACGCUUGGCUCAAAAUGGAGCAAUGCGACCGGACAUGGAGCGGCUGUCUAUCAAAAAGCACUUAUGCGGUACUGACGCCAUGUGGCGUACGAUUUACCAUUCUCGGCAUUUCCAUGUUGACCGCUUCGGAGUGUAUAGAUAGUGCCUAUUUCUAGAUGUACACCAGUAUCUAUCGAUUGAUCCUCUAUAGUAACAUUGCAAUACAGGAAAAAUGUUUACUUUUUUUUGAGUAAAGAUGAAAUGUCGUAAAAUUAUGCUCAUAUAA
Melitaea cinxia (Glanville fritillary) is the source of this 337-nucleotide long non-coding RNA. RefSeq lists it as uncharacterized. The transcript has 2 exons. The record is from RefSeq and is a predicted model, not a curated record. Lineage: Eukaryota; Metazoa; Arthropoda; Insecta; Lepidoptera; Nymphalidae.